This 119-nucleotide ribosomal RNA is filed under the name Pteropus alecto (black flying fox). The record is from RNAcentral. Lineage: Eukaryota; Metazoa; Chordata; Mammalia; Chiroptera; Pteropodidae.
GUCUACGGCCAUGCCACUCUGAACACGCCCAAUCUGUUCUGAUCUCAGAAGCUAAGCAGGGUCGGGCCUAGUUAGUACUUGGAUGGGAGACCACCUAGGAAGACCAGGUGCUAUAGGCA